RNAcentral lists this ribosomal RNA (254 nucleotides) under uncultured bacterium. RNAcentral's name for it is "partial 16S ribosomal RNA". It matches the Rfam family "Bacterial small subunit ribosomal RNA", at positions 524 to 776 of the family's 1533-position model. The record is from RNAcentral.
UACGUAGGGAGCAAGCGUUGUCCGGAUUUAUUGGGCGUAAAGAGCGCGUAGGCGGCUCGGUAAGCCGGAUGUGAAACCUCCAAGCUCAACUUGGAGCGGCCAUUCGGAACUGCUGUGGCUAGAGUCUGGUAGGGGAACACGGAACUCCUGGUGUAGCGGUGAAAUGCUUAGAUAUCAGGAGGAACACCGAUGGCGAAGGCAGGUCUCUGGGCCACUACUGACGCUGAGAAGCGAAAGCAUGGGGAGCGAACAGG